AAUAAAUUAGUUCAUUUAAAAUUUUAGUUUGUCAAACUAAAGAUAAAAGAAAUUCCUCA
RNAcentral lists this transfer RNA (59 nucleotides) under Cyrtarachne nagasakiensis. Its description in RNAcentral is "tRNA-Asp". Lineage: Eukaryota; Metazoa; Arthropoda; Arachnida; Araneae; Araneidae. The record is from RNAcentral.